UGCUGUGUACAUCGUAGGAUGAAAGGAGUAAUAUCUUGUAGCUGCUGUGUGCAGUGAAACUUGAUGAAUCUUUGAAUAUGUCAAUCCUCAAUUGACACCACAAAUUUGUCAGGUAAUUAAGACGAUUUGCAAUUACUGGAUGGGAACGGCACCAAAUAAGCAUUCAAAUUCAGUUUGAAUUCUUCAAAAAAUUAUAAGUGUCUCAGCACAAUUCUUCAAAAAAUAUUAUCAAUAAUAUUUAUCUAUGUAAUUAGCAAUCAAAAAUCAACGUAAAACAUUUAUAAUAUAUAUAUAUAUAACAUUUUCCAUUUUAAAUUUCCCUUGAUUUGAAAAAGAUGCAACUUACCGUGUCUUUUGGGUUUCCUUUUACCAACUACAUUUUUUUUAUGCUUAAACAAAAAAUAAGAUAAGCAAUAAAAUAUACUAUUAUGUUUAGGAUUAAAUUAAAAUUUUCAAGUUUCAACUAGAUUUAUUAAUUAACUAGAACUAUUUAAGUUUGUUAACUAUUUUUAAUUAUUUAGGUUAAGACUUAAACCCAUAUUUUUUUAUAAAAAAAAUAAGCCUAAAUCAAUUAACUAGUUUCAACUCAUUUUUUAUUCAUUCCAAACAGGCCCACCGCUUCUUCUUAUCCUUGAAUGCUUCCAAUUUAAUUGAUACUACUCUUUCUUGGCUGAAAAUAUUUCUUCAACUGCAGUCACAAAUGUCAAAUACAUCGGCAUUAGAUUCGACUGUUACAAUUGAAAAAUAUGUGUAUCCUGAUCGUUCUAGAUUCGGAGGAUCAAGUGUCAAGGCUAAAAUAUCCACAAAAUUUAGCAGAAACUCAAAACCUGCGUAUCAAAACCGAGAAAUCAUCACAUCGCUUGAGCAUAUAGAAACAGACAGAUUAUAUCAACAAUCACACAUCCAAAUAAUAAUCAACAAAUAUCAGGAGAGAGAGAGAGAGGAAGGAAUUAUAACGAAUGAAAUGAGUACCUCAGCAGAACUGCCGCGGAUUUCACGGAGGAAGACUUUGUCGAGGCCAUUGUACCCUUUCGAUCGAAAUCAAUUACGGCGUCCAGAAUUUAGAACUGGUAACAGAUAAAAAAACCCAGAAAUUAGCAAAAUCAAAAUAGCAAAACAAAUUAAUGCAAUCUUCGAAACCAUUUACAGGGAUACCAUAUAUGUAUGUGUGUGAGAGAGAAAACAAUAUGUUUCGAUUUCAGCCGGCUUUGGGUUUGGAAAAACAAUAUGUUUUCAGGGUUUGGAUCGGCUUUGGGUUUAGAUCUUCUAAUUUGGUCUGUACCUCCGAUUUUUCGGUCAGAUUCCGGCCGUCGACUUCGCUAAUCGGCUUUUCUUCCGAAGGCAGCAGCUCUGGUAACAGAAAAAAUUUGGGGGAAUCGACGCUGCGAUCCAUAACCGGCUAUUUGAAGGGUAUUUUUGUCAAGGCCAAUAUAGAGCGGUAUGUAAGAUGGACCGGUGUUAAAAUUGUAGAAAGACAGAUGUCAACUUAUUAUAUCAUGUACUGUGAUUUAAUAUAUAUAAUACAUAAUAAAAUGUUUAAGAUACUCAUAAUUACUAAUAAUGGCC
This 1566-nucleotide long non-coding RNA is filed under the name Panax ginseng (ginseng). RNAcentral describes it as "long non-coding RNA (PGIN_LNC013367)". Lineage: Eukaryota; Viridiplantae; Streptophyta; Magnoliopsida; Apiales; Araliaceae. The record is from RNAcentral.